RNAcentral lists this ribosomal RNA (719 nucleotides) under uncultured Mycoplasma sp. Its description in RNAcentral is "bacterial SSU rRNA". It matches the Rfam family "Bacterial small subunit ribosomal RNA", at positions 28 to 776 of the family's 1533-position model. Lineage: Bacteria; Bacillati; Mycoplasmatota; Mollicutes; Mycoplasmatales; Mycoplasmataceae. The record is from RNAcentral.
GAUGAACGCUGACAGAAUGCUUAACACAUGCAAGUCAACUUGAACUUCGGUUUGGGUGGCGGACGGGUGAGUAACGCGUAAAGAACUUGCCUCACAGCUAGGGACAACAUUUGGAAACGAAUGCUAAUACCUGAUAUUAUGAUUUUAGGGCAUCCUAGGAUUAUGAAAGCUAUAUGCGCUGUGAGAGAGCUUUGCGUCCCAUUAGCUAGUUGGAGAGGUAACGGCUCACCAAGGCGAUGAUGGGUAGCCGGCCUGAGAGGGUGAUCGGCCACAAGGGGACUGAGACACGGCCCAAACUCCUACGGGAGGCAGCAGUGGGGAAUAUUGGACAAUGGGGGAAACCCUGAUCCAGCGACGCCGCGUGAGUGAAGAAGUAUUUCGGUAUGUAAAGCUCUAUCAGCAGGGAAGAAAAUGACGGUACCUGACUAAGAAGCCCCGGCUAACUACGUGCCAGCAGCCGCGGUAAUACGUAGGGGGCAAGCGUUAUCCGGAUUUACUGGGUGUAAAGGGAGCGCAGACGGCAAUGCAAGUCUGAAGUGAAAGGCGUGGGCUCAACCCAUGAACUGCUUUGGAAACUGUAUAGCUUGAGUGUCGGAGGGGUAAGCGGAAUUCCUAGUGUAGCGGUGAAAUGCGUAGAUAUUAGGAGGAACACCGGAGGCGAAGGCGGCUUACUGGACGACAACUGACGUUGAGGCUCGAAGGCGUGGGGAGCAAACAGG